UAGGGAAUCUUCCACAAUGGACGCAAGUCUGAUGGAGCAACGCCGCGUGAGUGAAGAAGGUUUUCGGAUCGUAAAGCUCUGUUGUUGGUGAAGAAGGAUAGAGGCAGUAACUGGUCUUUAUUUGACGGUAAUCAACCAGAAAGUCACGGCUAACUACGUGCCAGCAGCCGCGGUAAUACGUAGGUGGCAAGCGUUGUCCGGAUUUAUUGGGCGUAAAGCGAGCGCAGGCGGAAUGAUAAGUCUGAUGUGAAAGCCCACGGCUCAACCGUGGAACUGCAUCGGAAACUGUCAUUCUUGAGUGCAGAAGAGGAGAGUGGAACUCCAUGUGUAGCGGUGGAAUGCGUAGAUAUAUGGAAGAACACCAGUGGCGAAGGCGGCUCUCUGGUCUGCAACUGACGCUGAGGCUCGAAAGCAUGGGUAGCGAACAGGAUUAGAUACCCUGGUAGUCCAUGCCGUAAACGAUGAGCGCUAGGUGUUGGGGACUUUCCGGUUCUCAGUGCCGCAGCAAACGCA
This 513-nucleotide ribosomal RNA is filed under the name uncultured bacterium. Its description in RNAcentral is "partial 16S ribosomal RNA". It matches the Rfam family "Bacterial small subunit ribosomal RNA", at positions 355 to 859 of the family's 1533-position model. The record is from RNAcentral.